This 463-nucleotide long non-coding RNA is filed under the name Solanum tuberosum (potato). Its description in RNAcentral is "long non-coding RNA (STUB_LNC007452)". Lineage: Eukaryota; Viridiplantae; Streptophyta; Magnoliopsida; Solanales; Solanaceae. The record is from RNAcentral.
UACAUUCCCAUUGAUGAACCCCAAUUUGUUCUUUACGGCGAGUGAGCAUAACACACCCCUCUUCCAUGAGCGAAAUCCAACUCCAUCAAAUGGAACAGGAACCAACACUGUACCGGCACUCUCAGACGGAUGGAUGUACAAAGGACUUCCAAAUAUCAAAGGUUAGGAAGAUGAAACAGACGAACUAGUGGUUUGAUUAAUAAUUUUAAUCAUGACGAGAAUAGAUCAAAUAAUAGGAAUAGAAUUGCUUAAAGCAAAGAGAGAUUUGCAUAGGAAAAAGAUCUGUAGAAUCAUAUCGAAAUUGAAAUCGAACGAUAUGAGAUGCAAAGAUAUUGAGAAAAAAAUUUGGACCAAAAUGAAAUUUAGAGGAAGAGAGACCUUCUAUGGCUCUGAUACCAUGUUAAACUCAGCUUGUUUCAACUUAGAUUAAAGCUUGAUGAACUCCAUUAAUGGAGAAUUCUUC